AAGCAGGGGAUCGUAAGACCUUGCGCUUUUGGAGUGGCCGAUGCCUGAUUAGCUAGUUGGUGGGGUAAGGGCCUACCAAGGCGACGAUCAGUAGUUGGUCUGAGAGGACGACCAGCCACACUGGGACUGAGACACGGCCCAGACUCCUACGGGAGGCAGCAGUGGGGAAUUUUGGACAAUGGGCGGAAGCCUGAUCCAGCAAUGCCGCGUGAGUGAAGAAGGCCUUCGGGUUGUAAAGCUCUUUCAGUCGAGAAGAAAAGGUUGCGACUAAUAAUCGCAACUUAUGACGGUAUCGACAGAAGAAGCACCGGCUAACUACGUGCCAGCAGCCGCGGUAAUACGUAGGGUGCGAGCGUUAAUCGGAAUUACUGGGCGUAAAGGGUGCGCAGGCGGCUCUGCAAGUCAGAUGUGAAAUCCCCGGGCUUAAC
Molecule: ribosomal RNA, 428 nt
Filed under: uncultured ammonia-oxidizing beta proteobacterium
Lineage: Bacteria; Pseudomonadati; Pseudomonadota; Betaproteobacteria
Description: bacterial SSU rRNA
Rfam family: Bacterial small subunit ribosomal RNA
Source: RNAcentral